Molecule: ribosomal RNA, 410 nt
Filed under: uncultured microorganism
Description: bacterial SSU rRNA
Rfam family: Bacterial small subunit ribosomal RNA
Source: RNAcentral
CAGCAGCCGCGGUAAUACGUAGGGUGCGAGCGUUAAUCGGAUUUACUGGGCGUAAAGCGUGCGCAGGCGGCCCGUUAAGACAGGUGUGAAAUCCCUGGGCUCAACCUAGGAAUUGCGCUUGUGACUGGCGGGCUCGAGUACGGUAGAGGGGGGUGGAAUUCCUGGUGUAGCAGUGAAAUGCGUAGAGAUCAGGAGGAACACCGAUGGCGAAGGCAGCCCCCUGGGCCUGUACUGACGCUCAUGCACGAAAGCGUGGGGAGCAAACAGGAUUAGAUACCCUGGUAGUCCACGCCCUAAACGAUGGGUACUAGCCGUUUGGUGCGCGAUAGCGCUGAGUGGCGAAGCUAACGCGUGAAGUACCCCGCCUUGGGAGUACGGCCGCAGGGUUGAAACUUAAAGGAAUUGGCGGG